RNAcentral lists this ribosomal RNA (497 nucleotides) under uncultured bacterium. RNAcentral's name for it is "partial 16S ribosomal RNA". It matches the Rfam family "Bacterial small subunit ribosomal RNA", at positions 28 to 507 of the family's 1533-position model. The record is from RNAcentral.
GACGAACGCUGGCGGCGUGCCUAAUACAUGCAAGUUGAGCGAUGAAGAUUGGUGCUUGCACCAAUUUGAAGAGCAGCGAACGGGUGAGUAACGCGUGGGGAAUCUGCCUUUGAGCGGGGGACAACAUUUGGAAACGAAUGCUAAUACCGCAUAACAACUUUAAACAUAAGUUUUAAGUUUGAAAGAUGCAAUUGCAUCACUCAAAGAUGAUCCCGCGUUGUAUUAGCUAGUUGGUGAGGUAAAGGCUCACCAAGGCGAUGAUACAUAGCCGACCUGAGAGGGUGAUCGACCACAUUGGGACUGAGACACGGCCCAAACUCCUACGGGAGGCAGCAGUAGGGAAUCUUCGGCAAUGGACGAAAGUCUGACCGAGCAACGCCGCGUGAGUGAAGAAGGGUUUCGGAUCGUAAAACUCUGUUGGUAGAGAAGAACGUUGGUGAGAGUGGAAAGCUCAUCAAGUGACGGUAACUACCCAGAAAGGGACGGCUAACUACGUG